AGUGAACGCUGGCGGUAGGCCUAACACAUGCAAGUCGAACGGCAGCACAGUAAGAGCUUGCUCUUACGGGUGGCGAGUGGCGGACGGGUGAGGCAUACAUCGGAAUCUACUUUUUCGUGGGGGAUAACGUAGGGAAACUUACGCUACUACCGCAUACGUCCUACGGGUGAAAUCAGGAGAUCUUCGGACCUUGCGCGUUUGAAUGAGACGAUGUCGGAUUAGCUAGUUGGCGGGGUAAAGGCCCACCAAGGCGACGAUCCGUAGCUGGUCUGAGAGGAUGAUCAGCCACACUGGAACUGAGACACGGUCCAGACUCCUACGGGAGGCAGCAGUGGGGAAUAUUGGACAAAGGGCGCAAGCCUGAUCCAGCCAUACCGCGUGGGUGAAGAAGGCCUUCGGGUUGUAAAGCCCUUUUGUUGGGAAAGAAAAGCAGCAGGUUAAUACCCCGCUGUUCUGACGGUACCCAAAGAAUAAGCACCGGCUAACUUCGUG
This 492-nucleotide ribosomal RNA is filed under the name uncultured bacterium. RNAcentral describes it as "partial 16S ribosomal RNA". It matches the Rfam family "Bacterial small subunit ribosomal RNA", at positions 29 to 507 of the family's 1533-position model. The record is from RNAcentral.